GAUUAGCGUAGGCACUUGGGGCAAGUUCCUUGGAAGAGGACAGCAUUGAGGGUGAUACUCCCGUUCCCUCCCGAGUUGCUUAUGCGUAUAAUCCGUUUUCUUUGAGUCGCGUUGUUUGAGAAUGCAGCGCAAAGUAGGUGGUAAAUUCCAUCUAAAGCUAAAUAUUGGUGCGAGACCGAUAGCAAACAAGUACCGUGAGGGAAAGAUGAAAAGAACUUUGAAAAGAGAGUUAAAGAGUACCUGAAACUGCUGAAAGGGAACCAAAUCGUUUCCAGUAUCUAUAAUCCGCGGUAUAUUUCAUUGGCGAAUGUGUGCGUGCAUGUACUAUGGCAGCGGCUUUUUGCUGCGCCUUGUGUGUGUUUCGCAUUUUCUCGCUGGUGCCCUGUACUGUGGUGGGACGUCAAUGUCGGUUCGUAUGCUGCGGGAAAUGACUGCCGAGGAGGUAGGGCGAACGCUUGCGUUUGUCUGUUACAUCUGGGCGGACUUAGUAGUCGUGGUUGGGACUGAGGUGCCUAUAAUGUGCUUAUGAGUGGGAUCGAAUCUCCAUGUGCGCCGUGUGCGGAUAGCUUGCUAUGCGUGUGUAGCUGUGUGUGGAUUGAGUCGAGACGUAACUUAUUGCCGUUCGGGACGUUGACGAAAUGGAGCGAUUUGACCCGUCUUGAAACACGGACCAAGGAGUCUAACAUGUGUGCAAGUGUUAGGGUGUGGAAACCCCAGCGCGUAAUGAAAGUAAAGGAUAGCGUAAGUUAUCUUAGGUAGGAAAUGCUGCGGGUUCGUCCUGCGGCGUGGCACUAUCGACCGAUCAUGAACCUUCGUGGUGAAAGAUUUGAGUUUGAGCACAUAUGUUGGUACCCGAAAGAUGGUGAACUAUGCCUGAGUAGGGUGAAGCCAGAGGAAACUCUGGUGGAAGCUCGUAGCGAUUCUGACGUGCAAAUCGAUCGUCAAACUUGGGUAUAGGGGCGAAAGACUAAUCGAACCAUCUAGUAGCUGGUUCCCUCCGAAAUUUCCCUCAGGAUAGCAGCAACUGAUUUACGAUAGUUUUAUGAGGUAAAGCGAAUGAUUAGAGGAUUCGGGGAAGAAAUUUUCUCGACCUAUUCUCAAACUUUAAAUCUGUAAGACCUGCA
Molecule: ribosomal RNA, 1124 nt
Filed under: Bremia lactucae (lettuce downy mildew)
Lineage: Eukaryota; Oomycota; Peronosporomycetes; Peronosporales; Peronosporaceae
Description: partial large subunit ribosomal RNA
Rfam family: Eukaryotic large subunit ribosomal RNA
Source: RNAcentral